Molecule: ribosomal RNA, 929 nt
Filed under: Campylobacter coli
Lineage: Bacteria; Pseudomonadati; Campylobacterota; Epsilonproteobacteria; Campylobacterales; Campylobacteraceae
Description: partial 23S ribosomal RNA
Rfam family: Bacterial large subunit ribosomal RNA
Source: RNAcentral
GCACUGGGGGUUGUAGGACUGCAAUGUGCAAGAGGUGAGUUUAGCAGAACAUUCUGGAAAGUAUAGCCAUAGAGGGUGAUAGUCCCGUAUGCGAAAAACAAACCUUAGCUAGCAGUAUCCUGAGUAGGGCGGGACACGAGAAAUCCUGUCUGAAGCUGGGUCGACCACGAUCCAACCCUAAAUACUAAUACCAGAUCGAUAGUGCACAAGUACCGUGAGGGAAAGGUGAAAAGAACUGAGGUGAUCAGAGUGAAAUAGAACCUGAAACCAUUUGCUUACAAUCAUUCAGAGCACUAUGUAGCAAUACAGUGUGAUGGACUGCCUUUUGCAUAAUGAGCCUGCGAGUUGUGGUGUCUGGCAAGGUUAAGCAAACGCGAAGCCGUAGCGAAAGCGAGUCUGAAUAGGGCGCUUAGUCAGAUGCUGCAGACCCGAAACGAAGUGAUCUAUCCAUGAGCAAGUUGAAGCUAGUGUAAGAACUAGUGGAGGACUGAACCCAUAGGCGUUGAAAAGCCCCGGGAUGACUUGUGGAUAGGGGUGAAAGGCCAAUCAAACUUCGUGAUAGCUGGUUCUCUCCGAAAUAUAUUUAGGUAUAGCGUUGUGUCGUAAUAUAAGGGGGUAGAGCACUGAAUGGGCUAGGGCAUACACCAAUGUACCAAACCCUAUCAAACUCCGAAUACCUUAUAUGUAAUCACAGCAGUCAGGCGGCGAGUGAUAAAAUCCGUCGUCAAGAGGGAAACAACCCAGACUACCAGCUAAGGUCCCUAAAUCUUACUUAAGUGGAAAACGAUGUGAAGUUACUUAAACAACCAGGAGGUUGGCUUAGAAGCAGCCAUCCUUUAAAGAAAGCGUAAUAGCUCACUGGUCUAGUGAUUUUGCGCGGAAAAUAUAACGGGGCUAAAGUAAGUACCGAAGCUGUAGACUUGAUUUUA